This is a long non-coding RNA of Triticum dicoccoides, 501 nucleotides long. RefSeq lists it as uncharacterized. The transcript has 4 exons. The record is from RefSeq and is a predicted model, not a curated record. Lineage: Eukaryota; Viridiplantae; Streptophyta; Magnoliopsida; Poales; Poaceae.
UUGGUGCUGAUACUUUUGUUGUAGAUGGCGAUGACUGAUCUGCAGGCUCUUGUUGUGGGGAACAAGAACCUGACCAUCCAUGUGUAUGUUUCGCGUCUGUGGCAGCAUUGUGGAUCCACUGAUAACAGUCCUAUCAAAGACACUGACAUGGUCCUUUUGGAUGUGUAGGGCAAACAUCUAUUCUGAGAUUGGUGAGAAGCUUGUGCCUAAGUUCAAUUGAGGCAACCACAUCCAUGUUGUUUCUUGGCAUGAGCAACCACAUCUAUGCUGAUAUUGGCUCCUGGGCUCCUUUAUAGGUCUCUUACUGUGAAGCUUGUGGUUGGCAUGCCUUUCAAGCAUUCAAUUCUUAUGAGGGUGGAGUUGGAGAAGGUGGGGCGUCAGAGCAGAGCUAAUUGCAGCGUCCACGACCUCCUUGGGCAUGGCCAAUCCCGCCAGAUUGACCAGGUUGCAGGGUUUGGUCAGCAGUGUGUGUGGCCAGUGGUUGGAGCACACUGAAGUGGA